CCUACGGGAGGCAGCAGUGGGGGAUAUUGCACAAUGGGGGAAACCCUGAUGCAGCGACGCCGCGUGUGGGAAGACGGUCCUCUGGAUUGUAAACCACUGUCCCCAGGGACGAAGAUGACGGUACCUGGGGAGGAAGCUCCGGCUAACUACGUGCCAGCAGCCGCGGUAAUACGUAGGGAGCGAGCGUUGUCCGGAAUUACGGGGUGAAAAGGGAGCGUAGGCGGGACUGCAAGUUGGGUGUCAAAUCUACCGGCUCAACCGGUAGCCGCACUCAAAACUGCAUGUCUUGAGUGAAGUAGAGGCAGGCGGAAUUCCUAGUGUAGCGGUGAAAUGCGUAGAUAUUAGGAGGAACACCAGUGGCGAAGGCGGCCUGCUGGGCUUUUACUGACGCUGAGGCUCGAAAGUGUGGGUAGCAAACAGGAUUAGAUACCCGGGUAGUC
Molecule: ribosomal RNA, 440 nt
Filed under: uncultured bacterium
Lineage: Bacteria
Description: partial 16S ribosomal RNA
Rfam family: Bacterial small subunit ribosomal RNA
Source: RNAcentral